RNAcentral lists this ribosomal RNA (497 nucleotides) under uncultured bacterium. RNAcentral's name for it is "partial 16S ribosomal RNA". It matches the Rfam family "Bacterial small subunit ribosomal RNA", at positions 28 to 507 of the family's 1533-position model. The record is from RNAcentral.
GAUGAACGCUGGCGGCGUGCCUAAUACAUGCAAGUCGAGCGAACGGACGAGAAGCUUGCUUCUCUGAUGUUAGCGGCGGACGGGUGAGUCACACGUGGAUAACCUACCUAUAAGACUGGGAUAACUUCGGGAAACCGGAGCUAAUACCGGAUAAUAUUUUGAACCGCAUGGUUCAAAAGUGAAAGACGGUCUUGCUGUCACUUAUAGAUGCAUCCGCGCUGCAUUGGCUAGUUGGUGAGGUCACGGCUUACCAAGGCUACGAUGCCUAGCCGACCGGAAGGGGUGAUCGGCCACCCUGGAACUGGACCGCGGUCCAUGCUCCUACGGGAGGCAGCAGUAUGGAAUGUUCCGCAAUGGGCGAAAGCCUGACGGAGCGACGCCGCGUGAGUGAUGAAGGUCUUCGGUUCGUAAAGCUCUGUUAUUAGGGAAGAACAUAUUUGUAAUUAACUGUACACAGCGUGACGGUACCUAAUCAGAAAGCCACGGCUAACUACGUG